Molecule: ribosomal RNA, 508 nt
Filed under: uncultured Opitutia bacterium
Lineage: Bacteria; Pseudomonadati; Verrucomicrobiota; Opitutia
Description: bacterial SSU rRNA
Rfam family: Bacterial small subunit ribosomal RNA
Source: RNAcentral
GAGUUUGAUCCUGGCUCAGCCUGAACGCUGGCGGCGUGGCUAAGACAUGCAAGUCGCACGGUGUAGCAAUACACAGUGGCGAACGGGUGAGUAAUGAAUCGCUAAUGUACCCUGGACUCUGGGAUAGCUGACCGAAAGGUCAGGUAAUACCAGAUGAGACCACGAACAGGCAUCUGUUUGUGCUCAAAGGUCCGCCGGUCUGGGAGCAGGCGAUUUCGUAUCAGCUAGUUGGUGAGGUAACGGCUCACCAAGGCGACGACGCGUAACCGGACUGAGAGGUUGCCCGGCCACACUGGAACUGAGACACGGUCCAGACUCCUACGGGAGGCAGCAGUGGGGAAUUGUUCACAAUGGGCGCAAGCCUGAUGACGCAACGCCGCGUGGGGGAUGAAGGUCUUCGGAUUGUAAACCCCUGUCGAACGGGACGAAAGACCCGGGAGCUAAUCAUCCUGGGAGUGACGGUACCGUUAAAGGAAGCCACGGCUAACUCUGUGCCAGCAGCCGCCGU